RNAcentral lists this unclassified non-coding RNA (230 nucleotides) under soil metagenome. RNAcentral describes it as "partial internal transcribed spacer 1". The record is from RNAcentral.
UUGAAUUUUAAUGAAGAGUUUGGUUGUAGCUGGCCCAUUCAUUUGGGCAUGUGCACACCUUCCUCUUUCAUCCCACACACACCUGUGAACCUGUGAGACAGAGAUGGGGAAUUUACUUGCUGCUUUUUGGAAUACAAGGCAAUAGGUUAUUGGACCCCCCCUCUGUCUACUCAAUUAAUAUAAACUCAAUUUAUUUAAAACGAAUGUAAUGGAUGUAACACAUCUCAUAC